RNAcentral lists this ribosomal RNA (740 nucleotides) under Lactiplantibacillus pentosus. RNAcentral describes it as "bacterial SSU rRNA". It matches the Rfam family "Bacterial small subunit ribosomal RNA", at positions 52 to 758 of the family's 1533-position model. Lineage: Bacteria; Bacillati; Bacillota; Bacilli; Lactobacillales; Lactobacillaceae. The record is from RNAcentral.
UACAUGCAAGUCGAACGAACUCUGGUAUUGAUUGGUGCUUGCAUCAUGAUUUACAUUUGAGUGAGUGGCGAACUGGUGAGUAACACGUGGGAAACCUGCCCAGAAGCGGGGGAUAACACCUGGAAACAGAUGCUAAUACCGCAUAACAACUUGGACCGCAUGGUCCGAGUUUGAAAGAUGGCUUCGGCUAUCACUUUUGGAUGGUCCCGCGGCGUAUUAGCUAGAUGGUGGGGUAACGGCUCACCAUGGCAAUGAUACGUAGCCGACCUGAGAGGGUAAUCGGCCACAUUGGGACUGAGACACGGCCCAAACUCCUACGGGAGGCAGCAGUAGGGAAUCUUCCACAAUGGACGAAAGUCUGAUGGAGCAACGCCGCGUGAGUGAAGAAGGGUUUCGGCUCGUAAAACUCUGUUGUUAAAGAAGAACAUAUCUGAGAGUAACUGUUCAGGUAUUGACGGUAUUUAACCAGAAAGCCACGGCUAACUACGUGCCAGCAGCCGCGGUAAUACGUAGGUGGCAAGCGUUGUCCGGAUUUAUUGGGCGUAAAGCGAGCGCAGGCGGUUUUUUAAGUCUGAUGUGAAAGCCUUCGGCUCAACCGAAGAAGUGCAUCGGAAACUGGGAAACUUGAGUGCAGAAGAGGACAGUGGAACUCCAUGUGUAGCGGUGAAAUGCGUAGAUAUAUGGAAGAACACCAGUGGCGAAGGCGGCUGUCUGGCUGUAACUGACGCUGAGGCUCGAAA